CAGCAGCUGCCGCUCCCCCGACCCUGGUCUGCAACUUAAACCACUGCUUGUCUAAAGAUGGAAACUGCCCACAUGGUAAACCUGCAGUCCAUCCAAGGGCCAGCAGCUCACUUCUCUGAUCCCUAAGGGAUCUGUCCAGCACCCAGGAAGGCUCACUCUCUCCAUCCGUCUUCAGCGGCAGAGACAGUUCCCCGUGCAGAGGACCUUCCUACUGAGCCCACGUGGUUGCAUCUCCCAGCUUUUUCCCUUCAGCUCUUUUCUGCUGGGAACCAUUGGUGUGGCGGGCUAGGUAGGAUCUAAAAUCCAGAGUCCAGGUUCUUGCCUCUGACUUAAAAACCUUCUAAGUGCAGGCACAAAGGCAACAUACAAAGCGAUAACGUUUAUUGAAAAGGUGAGGAAAUGAUGGACACACGUGGGCCAUGUUCAGGGACAGGGGGCGGGGAAAGGGGAAGGCGGGAGAGAGUGAAGAGUGGGAAGCGAGGGUGAGGCGUUCCUACCUUGCACCUUCUGUGUCCUCAGGAAGAGAGAGCGCCUUUCCUUGUUCUGAGCUUGGAAAGGGGACUGGUUGCAGAGGGCACCAACCCCAGGUCCCAGGGGAGAGGAGGUACCUGCUGGGCAAGGUAGUUGACUGACAAGGUGAGUGGAUAGAAUUACUUAGGGCAGCGGAGGUUUGGCUUUUGCAACUCCUGACUCUGAGAAUUCAACCCUGACUGCGAGCUGCAGAUGAAGAAAGAUGUGUGUUCCCGUCUGUUUCUGGGAAACUCCCCAGGUACAUGAGCAGGGAGAUGGAUCUGAAGUGGAGCAUCCAGGACUUGAAAUGGUGCCCACAUGGGAUUCUGCUGCUGUAGGUGGAGGUGUGACCUACUAUACCACGGCACUGUCCCCAGUGCCUCCGCUUACGUAGCCUUUGAGGUCCUCCCUUGGUUGGAUUUUGUCCAUUCAGCUACCGGGAUAAAUACACACAGCAAUUUCCCUUGCGCAUUUGCUGCGGGCAUUCUCAUUUUGGCACAGAACUUAGAGGACAAUGACUGAAAUCGUUCCCCAUUAUCUGCCUCUCAUCCCCACUGCCCUUCAAGCCCCAGGCCCCAUCUGCAGGCCAGGCUGAAUGAAGAGGAGUUGAACACAUUGACCGCCCACUUCUGUUGUCCCUCCGCUUGUCUGUGGAGAAUAACCCUGCCACCAAGCCAGGCUCCAGAUACAGCGAAGGAGUAAGAUGUGCCAAUCUUUUUUUUUUUUUUUUUCUUAAGAUCUCCCUGUUUAUUUGUGGAAUUAGAAAUGGGAGAGAGAUAUCUUC
Ochotona curzoniae (black-lipped pika) is the source of this 1294-nucleotide long non-coding RNA. RefSeq lists it as uncharacterized. The record is from RefSeq and is a predicted model, not a curated record. Lineage: Eukaryota; Metazoa; Chordata; Mammalia; Lagomorpha; Ochotonidae. The transcript has 2 exons.